CUUUAAAAAAGACAUGGUGGCGCAGUAUUCUAGUCAGUACUAAUGGCUCUGAAGACGGGCCUAAAAAUCCGUUAAAGGGCACAUCGAUGAAGUUCCUUGUGUCGGCUUGCUACGCCCAGUGGUGGGCUGGUGCUGGGAGUUAAGGCUUAGGGGCGAUCCGCAAUGGCAUGCGGGCGUAGACCCCUUUUCCGUGGAGACCCUGACUUGUGGAUGAAAAGUUAAGCACCUUGCUUACCACCUCAUCUACGAUAAGGGAUUAAACCUGUUAUGCGGUAUCGCAAGAUGCUGUGAACAGAGUAGCCUGCCGUGAGUGAAAUUUGGUGGAUAGUGGAUCGGAUGCUUAAUGUAUUGGCCGAUAUAUGAGCAUUAUUGCUGCUUGAAACCUUUUUUGCAAAAGAGGCUAGGAGUCAUUUUGACUGUUGGGGAAAACCCCUAGACUGUUCUAUAUGUGGUUUAUUGGGGAUUAAAGUGUGGACUAAGUGGUAAUCAGGCCUCAUACUUGGCAACAAUAUGGAGAUGCGUUUAAUGGGAAACCUCUGGUUUGGCGACAUUCCAGCAUGCAUCUGGGAAACCCUGCCUGACCUAAGCCGCAAAAUUUACUCAGUAGACUGCCACCUGUUUUCUAUAUAUU
RNAcentral lists this small RNA (631 nucleotides) under Ruminiclostridium sufflavum DSM 19573. Lineage: Bacteria; Bacillati; Bacillota; Clostridia; Eubacteriales; Oscillospiraceae. The record is from RNAcentral.